UAGUCUAACGGCUGAACCANGCAACUUAGAAGAAUAAUAAUAUUAUUCUAGAUAAAUUUUGACAUCUGACUUUUUUUAUCUAUAAGACUCGACUAAUUCUCGUGCCAGCAGUCGCGGUAAUACGGGUGAGUCUAGUAUUAGUCAUCUUUAUUAGGUAUAAAGGGUACCUAGACAUCAUAUAAAAGUAAGAUUUGUAAAUAUGAUAGAGUUUUUAUACAGGAGGACUAGUAUUAUUGGUGUAGAGAUGCAAUUCGUUGAUACCAAAUAGACUGGUAAAAGUGAAGACAAUCCUUCAUGUACAAACUGACGUUGAGGGACGAAGGCUUGAUAUAAACGAAAAGGAUUAGAGACCCUUGUAGUCCAAGGAGAGAAUUAUGGAUGCCAUAUGUAGGAACAAUGUUUCUAUGUAUAAAUGAAAAUGUAAGCAUCCCACCUCAUGAGUAAAGUGGCAACACCGGAAUUGAAAUCAUUAGGCCGUGUUUGAAACCAGUAGUGAAGUAUGAUAUUUAAUUCGAUGACCCACGAAAAACCUUACCAAAAUUUGAAUGAGUCUUAUAAGACUUAGGUCUGAUUUUAUAUUUAUUAUAAAAUUAGACUUUAAAUAAAAAUUUUUAAUUUUUAUAUACAAGUGUUGCACGGCUGUUUUUAGUUGGUGUUCUGAGACUAAACAAUGUUUGAACAUAAUUUAUUAAUAUUUAUUAUGCUUACGUUUUUAAUUGACUCAAGCCCUUUAUAUUCAUUUAAUGCUAAUGGUUAAUUUAUCUAAUAAAUAAAGGUUAUACUGAAAAGUAUAACAAGGGGACCAAUACAAGUC
Molecule: ribosomal RNA, 814 nt
Filed under: Melaspileella proximella
Lineage: Eukaryota; Fungi; Ascomycota; Dothideomycetes; Asterinales; Melaspileellaceae
Description: mitochondrial SSU rRNA
Rfam family: Bacterial small subunit ribosomal RNA
Source: RNAcentral